GGGUUGUGAGGUUAAGCGACUAAGCGUACACGGUGGAUGCCCUGGCAGUCAGAGGCGAUGAAGGGCGUGCUAAUCUGCGAUAAGCGCCGGUAAGGUGAUAUGAACCGUUAUAACCGGCGAUACCCGAAUGGGGAAACCCAGUGUGACUCGUCACACUAUCAUUAACUGAAUCCAUAGGUUAAUGAGGCGAACCGGGGGAACUGAAACAUCUAAGUACCCCGAGGAAAAGAAAUCAACCGAGAUUCCCCCAGUAGCGGCGAGCGAACGGGGAGGAGCCCAGAGCCUGAAUCAGCAUGUGUGUUAGUGGAAGCGUCUGGAAAGGCGCGCGAUACAGGGUGACAGCCCCGUACACAAAAGCGCAUGUGCUGUGAGCUCGAUGAGUAGGGCGGGACACGUGGUAUCCUGUCUGAAUAUGGGGGGACCAUCCUCCAAGGCUAAAUACUCCUGACUGACCGAUAGUGAACCAGUACCGUGAGGGAAAGGCGAAAAGAACCCCGGCGAGGGGAGUGAAAAAGAACCUGAAACCGUGUACGUACAAGCAGUGGGAGCACAGGUUUACCUGUGUGACUGCGUACCUUUUGUAUAAUGGGUCAGCGACUUAUAUUCUGUAGCAAGGUUAACCGUAUAGGGGAGCCGUAGGGAAACCGAGUCUUAACCGGGCGUUAAGUUGCAGGGUAUAGACCCGAAACCCGGUGAUCUAGCCAUGGGCAGGUUGAAGGUUGGGUAACACUAACUGGAGGACCGAACCGACUAAUGUUGAAAAAUUAGCGGAUGACCUGUGGCUGGGGGUGAAAGGCCAAUCAAACCGGGAGAUAGCUGGUUCUCCCCGAAAGCUAUUUAGGUAGCGCCUCGUGAAUUCAUCUCCGGGGGUAGAGCACUGUUUCGGCUAGGGGGCCAUCCCGGCUUACCAACCCGAUGCAAACUGCGAAUACCGGAGAAUGUUAUCACGGGAGACACACGGCGGGUGCUAACGUCCGUCGUGAAGAGGGAAACAACCCAGACCGCCAGCUAAGGUCCCAAAGUCAUGGUUAAGUGGGAAACGAUGUGGGAAGGCCCAGACAGCCAGGAUGUUGGCUUAGAAGCAGCCAUCAUUUAAAGAAAGCGUAAUAGCUCACUGGUCGAGUCGGCCUGCGCGGAAGAUGUAACGGGGCUAAACCAUGCACCGAAGCUGCGGCAGCGACACUGUGUGUUGUUGGGUAGGGGAGCGUUCUGUAAGCCUGUGAAGGUGUGUCGUGAGGCAUGCUGGAGGUAUCAGAAGUGCGAAUGCUGACAUAAGUAACGAUAAAGCGGGUGAAAAGCCCGCUCGCCGGAAGACCAAGGGUUCCUGUCCAACGUUAAUCGGGGCAGGGUGAGUCGACCCCUAAGGCGAGGCCGAAAGGCGUAGUCGAUGGGAAACGGGUUAAUAUUCCCGUACUUGGUGUUACUGCGAAGGGGGGACGGAGAAGGCUAUGUUGGCCGGGCGACGGUUGUCCCGGUUUAAGCGUGUAGGUGUGUGUUCCAGGUAAAUCCGGUUCACUUUAACACUGAGGCGUGACGACGAGGCACUACGGUGCUGAAGCAACAAAUGCCCUGCUUCCAGGAAAAGCCUCUAAGCAUCAGGUAACAUCAAAUCGUACCCCAAACCGACACAGGUGGUCAGGUAGAGAAUACCAAGGCGCUUGAGAGAACUCGGGUGAAGGAACUAGGCAAAAUGGUGCCGUAACUUCGGGAGAAGGCACGCUGACACGUAGGUGAAGUGAUUUACUCAUGGAGCUGAAGUCAGUCGAAGAUACCAGCUGGCUGCAACUGUUUAUUAAAAACACAGCACUGUGCAAACACGAAAGUGGACGUAUACGGUGUGACGCCUGCCCGGUGCCGGAAGGUUAAUUGAUGGGGUCAGCGCAAGCGAAGCUCCUGAUCGAAGCCCCGGUAAACGGCGGCCGUAACUAUAACGGUCCUAAGGUAGCGAAAUUCCUUGUCGGGUAAGUUCCGACCUGCACGAAUGGCGUAAUGAUGGCCAGGCUGUCUCCACCCGAGACUCAGUGAAAUUGAACUCGCUGUGAAGAUGCAGUGUACCCGCGGCAAGACGGAAAGACCCCGUGAACCUUUACUAUAGCUUGACACUGAACAUUGAGCCUUGAUGUGUAGGAUAGGUGGGAGGCUUUGAAGUGUGGACGCCAGUCUGCAUGGAGCCGACCUUGAAAUACCACCCUUUAAUGUUUGAUGUUCUAACGUGGACCCGUAAUCCGGGUUGCGGACAGUGUCUGGUGGGUAGUUUGACUGGGGCGGUCUCCUCCUAAAGAGUAACGGAGGAGCACGAAGGUUGGCUAAUCCUGGUCGGACAUCAGGAGGUUAGUGCAAUGGCAUAAGCCAGCUUGACUGCGAGCGUGACGGCGCGAGCAGGUGCGAAAGCAGGUCAUAGUGAUCCGGUGGUUCUGAAUGGAAGGGCCAUCGCUCAACGGAUAAAAGGUACUCCGGGGAUAACAGGCUGAUACCGCCCAAGAGUUCAUAUCGACGGCGGUGUUUGGCACCUCGAUGUCGGCUCAUCACAUCCUGGGGCUGAAGUAGGUCCCAAGGGUAUGGCUGUUCGCCAUUUAAAGUGGUACGCGAGCUGGGUUUAGAACGUCGUGAGACAGUUCGGUCCCUAUCUGCCGUGGGCGCUGGAGAACUGAGGGGGGCUGCUCCUAGUACGAGAGGACCGGAGUGGACGCAUCACUGGUGUUCGGGUUGUCAUGCCAAUGGCACUGCCCGGUAGCUAAAUGCGGAAGAGAUAAGUGCUGAAAGCAUCUAAGCACGAAACUUGCCCCGAGAUGAGUUCUCCCUGAGACUUAGAGUCUCCUGAAGGAACGUUGAAGACGACGACGUUGAUAGGCCGGGUGUGUAAGCGCAGCGAUGCGUUGAGCUAACCGGUACUAAUGAACCGUGAGGCUUAACCUUACAACGCCGAAG
RNAcentral lists this ribosomal RNA (2928 nucleotides) under Salmonella enterica subsp. enterica serovar Typhimurium. RNAcentral's name for it is "bacterial LSU rRNA". It matches the Rfam family "Bacterial large subunit ribosomal RNA". Lineage: Bacteria; Pseudomonadati; Pseudomonadota; Gammaproteobacteria; Enterobacterales; Enterobacteriaceae. The record is from RNAcentral.